Molecule: non-coding RNA, 296 nt
Organism: Arachis ipaensis
Lineage: Eukaryota; Viridiplantae; Streptophyta; Magnoliopsida; Fabales; Fabaceae
Source: RefSeq, a predicted model, not a curated record
UAUGGGUGUGUCUUGACGGUGGCACACAACGGGGUGGUGAGGCUUUUCAGCAACACAAAUCAGGUGAUUUUGUAAUUUUGGGAGGGUGGCGGCGCAGCGGCGGAUAGCGCCGCAAGGAGGAAGGUCAGUGACGACGGUGGGCACGGACAUCACUCAGAACGCGCGUAGAGGCGGUAAGUUGGUCGACGCGGCGGCAACGACAUUGAACGGAACGGAGCUCGCGACUCGCAGCGAUGGCGGUGACUUCAUCGGUAGAUAGCAGCGGCGUAGCAGGGAUGGUGUGUGAGGGAGGAAGA